Molecule: ribosomal RNA, 295 nt
Filed under: Weissella confusa
Lineage: Bacteria; Bacillati; Bacillota; Bacilli; Lactobacillales; Lactobacillaceae
Description: partial 23S ribosomal RNA
Rfam family: Bacterial large subunit ribosomal RNA
Source: RNAcentral
GGGAGCAUUCCGUAUGCGUUGAAGGCGUACCGUGAGGUACUCUGGAGCGUCCGGAAAAGCAAAUGUAGGUAUAAGUAACGAUAAAGGGGGUGAGAAACCUCCUCGCCAUAAGGUCAAGGUUUCCUGAUCAACGCUAAUCGGAUCAGGGUUAGUCGGGUCCUAAGGGUAAGCCGAACGGCGAUCUCGAUGGAUAAUCGGUUAAUAUUCCGAUACUAACAUAUACCUCGAUGGAGAGACGAAAAAAAGUAAGUGACGCGGACUGACGGAAUAGUUCGUUAAAGGAUGUAGAUAAAGG